Small nucleolar RNA from Psammomys obesus (fat sand rat), 142 nucleotides. RefSeq annotates it as small nucleolar RNA SNORA48. The record is from RefSeq and is a predicted model, not a curated record. The transcript has a single exon. Lineage: Eukaryota; Metazoa; Chordata; Mammalia; Rodentia; Muridae.
UGCCCCCUGGCAAAGCGCAAAGAGACGCUUUGGUGGUGGUGUUCGCAUAUCAGUCAGGGGCAGAGCAGAUGGCAGCCCUUUGUUCGUCGUAGCUUGAUGGCUGGCUUAGCGGCCAAAGCUGUUUAAUACCUUGGACACAUAA